Long non-coding RNA from Astyanax mexicanus (Mexican tetra), 520 nucleotides. RefSeq lists it as uncharacterized. The record is from RefSeq and is a predicted model, not a curated record. The transcript has 3 exons. Lineage: Eukaryota; Metazoa; Chordata; Actinopteri; Characiformes; Acestrorhamphidae.
ACAGUAAAGAGUUACAUUUUCCUGGAGCAGGGAAACACAGCCCCACCCAGGAGCUGCUGAGGAAAAAAUAAAAGAGCUCUGCAUGCUGAUUGGAGCAGGCUGCUGUGUUGGUAGUGGCAGCGAAUCGGGACUGAGCAAUUAGCUGCCCCGCCUUCAUCACUGCUGCAGUUCCAGUCCCCUUCCCCCCUUCUCUCUCUUUUCUCUGGUGCUGUGGAGGACUGGAGUAGUCUGGAGCCUGGAAGCUGCUUAAAAAUAAAAACUGUGAGAAAUAGUUUAAAAAGCUUAUAAAAGUGGCUAAAACCCAGUGAGAUAGGAGGCUGCAAACCCCCCAAUUUCAGUGAAGCUGCGGGGAAGUGAACGGAAAGGCAGUAAAUGCUGUUACUAACUAGAGCUGGUGAGAAGACCCAGCAGAGAUUCCAGUUCAUUCCAGAGGUCAGGUUUUUUUGUUGGGGACCAUCAGAGCCUGGGGAGACAGAGUCUGGUGGAUCUUUGAAAAAGUAGAUGGCGAGCCACCCAAAGA